Molecule: ribosomal RNA, 264 nt
Filed under: uncultured bacterium
Lineage: Bacteria
Description: partial 16S ribosomal RNA
Rfam family: Bacterial small subunit ribosomal RNA
Source: RNAcentral
GCAAGUUGAACGCGAAAGCUUUCUUCGGAAAGUGAGUAGAGUAGCAGACGGGUGAGUAAUGCAUAGGUAAUCUGCCCUUGAGUGGGGGAUAACUGAUAGAAAUGUCAGCUAAUCCCGCAUGACAUUAUCUCUCAUAAGUGAGGUAAUUAAAGGAGGGGAUCCUUCGGGACCUUUCGCUUGAGGAUGAGCUUAUGUCCUAUUAGCUAGUUGGUGGGGUAAUGGCCUACCAAGGCUCUGAUGGGUAGCCGAGCUGAGAGGCUGAUC